This 1177-nucleotide long non-coding RNA is filed under the name Homo sapiens (human). Its description in RNAcentral is "HSALNT0343316". The record is from RNAcentral. Lineage: Eukaryota; Metazoa; Chordata; Mammalia; Primates; Hominidae.
ACUUCAUCCCUCAACUGCCACUGUCGUUAUCAUCAUCCUAAACGAUAAGAGUAAAUAAUGGCAAUAUUAUUACAUUCGUGGAUUUAAGGGUAAUGAACCUCCCUUAACACUCUGUUUAACAAGCUGUUAAUUUCUUUGAUUUGGAGGAGGCCAAGGUAGCAAUUACUCAGGCACCAAAAUCUGGAAAUCCCCACACCAGCAGGUUCCUUGCACUCCGCUUCCUCGUUGGCUGGAGAGAAUUUGUUUCCAAGGAUUGUAGACCACAGCAAGGCUUCCUCAGGCUUGCAUACCAGGGUAUGCAGUGUCUACGGCCACUAUUUCAAAGAUUAGAGUUGACGCAGCAAGGUGGUAAGGUCAGAAAUAAUUUAGUAUUAAUAUCCUUAUUCUACAGAGCAUGAGGCAACUUCGCAAAGUGUGUGAACCUCCUACACCAACCUUAAAUACUUCAUUCAUCCAAUAAAUAUUUAUUUAGCACCUCCUACGUGCUAAUCACCUUGCUGGACAUGAGGGAUAUAAUGGUGAACUAAGAAAGACUAAAUUUAGCCGGGCACGGUGGCUCACGCCUGUAAUCCCAGCACUUUGGGAGGCCGAGGCUGGUGGAUCACCUGAGGUCGGGAGUUCCAGACCAGUCUGGCCAAUAUGGUGAAACCCCGUCUCUACUAAAAAUACAAAAAUUAACCAGGCGUGGUGGCGGGCGCCUGUAGUCCCAACUACUCGCGAGGCUGAGGCAGGAGAAUCGCUUGAACCCGGGAGGCAGAGGUCGCAAUGAGCCAAGAUCAUGCCACUGCACUCCAGCCUAGGCAACAGAGCAAGAUCUGUUUCCAAAAGAUAAAGAAAGACUAAAUUUACGCAGCCCCCUAGUAUAGCCUGUGGAUCUAUAGUAUCAGCAUCGCCUGGGAACUUGUUAGAAAUGCCGCUAGAGCUUCACUUCAGAUCUACUGAAUGAGAAUUUGCAGUUUUAACAAGGUCCCCAGGUGAUUCUUAUGCACAGUGAAGUCUGGAAAAAUACUGCCCUAUAAGGUCCUCCAAAAGAAGUGAUAUGGAACUCAGGAGUCAACCAGGCAAAGGGGCCAGUGAAGAGUGUUCCAGGCAUCGCCUAUAUUUAUGUCAUAUUUUCACUACCUUUUCAAAAGUUUUAUCUUUUCCCUCAUUCCCAUGAAUAUACACUUGUACUUUG